This is a non-coding RNA of Talpa occidentalis (Iberian mole), 495 nucleotides long. Lineage: Eukaryota; Metazoa; Chordata; Mammalia; Eulipotyphla; Talpidae. The record is from the annotation of a RefSeq genome assembly.
AUGGCCUGGACUGUGCUUCUCCUCACCCUCCUCACUCAGGCCACAGGUUCCUGGGCCCAGUCUGCUCUGACUCAGCCUUCCUCAGUGUCUGGGGCUCUGGGACAGUCAGUCACCAUCUCCUGUGCUGGGACCAGCAAUGACAUUGGGCAGUAUAACGAUGUAUCCUGGUACCAGCAGCUCCCUGGCAAGACACCCAAGCUCCUGAUUUAUGUUGUCAGUUACCGGCCCUCAGGGAUCCCUGAUCGCUUCUCUGGCUCCAAGUCAGGCAACACGGCCACUUUGACCAUCUCUGGUCUCAAGCCUGAGGAUGAGGCUGAGUAUUACUGUAGCUCAUUCAGGAGUGGUUAUACUUACCACAGUGGUGGAUCCCUGAUCACUUCUCUGGUAAUGAUCAUCCCUGACCCUCAGUGGCUCCACCUGAGGAAGAGACUGAUCAUCACUGUCCCUCAUUUAGAAGCCUGGCACUUCCACAGUGUGCAAGUUCGGGGGAAGUGA